UGAUGUUGUUGGGUCAGGUGAUGUUGUUGGGUCAGGUGAUGAUGUUGGGUGAUGGUGAUGAUGUUGGGUGAUGGUGAUGUUGUUGGGUCAGGUGAUGUUGUUGGGUCAUGUGAUGAUGUUGGGUGAUGGUGAUGAUGUUGUUGGGUCAUGUGACGUUGUUGGUUUAGGUGAUGUUGUUGGGUCAUGUGAUGUUGUUGGGUUAGGUGAUGGUAAUAUUGUUGGGUCAUGUGAUGUUGUUGGGUUGGGUGAUGGUGAUGUUGUUGGGUUAGGUGAUGGUAAUAUUGUUGGGUCAUGUGAUGGGUUGGGUGAUGGUGAUGUUGUUGGGUUAGGUGAUGGUAAUAUUGUUGGGUCAUGUGAUGUUGUUGGGUUAGGUGAUGGUAAUAUUGUUGGGUCAUGUGAUGUUGUUGGGUUAGGUGAUGGUAAUAUUGUUGGGUCAUGUGAUGUUGUUGGGUUAGGUGAUGGUAAUAUUGUUGGGUCAUGUGAUGUUGUUGGGUUAGGUGAUGGUAAUAUUGUUGGGUCAUGGUUAGAAUGUAAAAACGUUGUGGUGUAUUGUUUCCACACAAACAAGCACUGCUUACUUAGGCUUUUUGGAAAGAGGGUGGAACUUUGGAUUGAAGACAUUACCGUCCGUAUUUUCAAUGUCAUGAACAUGUUUUUCCUCCCCCUUUUAGCCAAAGCUCAGCUGAGCACUGACUGACCAUUGACACAGACGCCAAGACACCGACAGGACAUCCGUGAAUGAAAAUAGUUGAUGGGCAAAGGAUCUAAUCAUUUUCAGCAAUUAAUGCCAGAGUGAUGUUUUAUAAUACUUUUUAUUGGAGUUAUUCGAAACUCAACAAGAGCAUUGAAACUGUGCGUGUACCUAAUGUUAAGUUUGAAUUGGAGUUGUGUUUUGCACUUUAAUGUUGUGUGUAAUUGUUAACACUAAGUUUUUGCAACAGAAUCAUUAGCUGUGUUUUUGAAGUGUGGUCUAUAUUUCUAAAACAAGUUCUAAACAAUGUUUUAUAGGUCGUUGAGAUGGAAAUGUAAUUAUGACAUGAAUCAUAUAUUUAUUUUAUUUUGACUAAUGAAAGACAAUCUUGCACCAAAUUACAACCUUUGUAGCUCAGCACUGCCAUGUAACGCGUUUUCCAAUCAACUGUAUUGUAUUAUGUGUAAUUUAAAAGGGAAAUAAACUAUAAUUCUGUUUUCUGGAAAUAAAGGUUUCAACAAAACGUGUUGCCUCAUGUCCACUUCUCUCUUAAUAUUUAAUCAUGAACACACUCGUAUACGGUCCAUGUGUCAUAAAUCAACUCACUUCAAACAGUAAAUGACGAUUCAAACACGAGCAAUGUUUAUUUUGGGCUCAAUUCCAGCCAUAGUGCUGAAAAUCGGCUUUAUAGCGCGAUUGACAAUUAAAGGGAUCACUCUUAACAUUUCCCCAAAAAAUGUAAUGACAAGACAUGGAAAAUUACAACAUUGUCUCACUAAUGCAUUUCCACAAAAUACACAUGCGCAGCAGAUUUGGCAACAACAAAAAAGCACAUUAUCCAUACAGGUUGUUGCAUGGAAUCCUUUUAGCCUGGCAUAUUUACUUCACACAAAGUGGCCAUCAAUUCAAAACACACAUUGCUGGACUGCACACCAGAUCUGAAUGCAGUUUGAGUUCUCAUCAGAACUGAAAAUUAGAUCCCGGUCCGACCCAAGUCCGUAAAGCUUGAAGCCCGAGCCCAGGCCUGACAUCACAGAAAUUAAAUGAGCCCAAAACAAAA
Oncorhynchus keta (chum salmon) is the source of this 1751-nucleotide long non-coding RNA. RefSeq lists it as uncharacterized. The transcript has 4 exons. The record is from RefSeq and is a predicted model, not a curated record. NCBI's taxonomy places the organism in Eukaryota, Metazoa, Chordata, Actinopteri, Salmoniformes, Salmonidae.